RNAcentral lists this ribosomal RNA (1058 nucleotides) under Microlunatus sp. RNAcentral describes it as "bacterial SSU rRNA". It matches the Rfam family "Bacterial small subunit ribosomal RNA", at positions 56 to 1130 of the family's 1533-position model. Lineage: Bacteria; Bacillati; Actinomycetota; Actinomycetes; Propionibacteriales; Propionibacteriaceae. The record is from RNAcentral.
UGCAAGUCGAACGGUAAGGCCCCUUCGGGGGUACACGAGUGGCGAACGGGUGAGUAACACGUGAGCAACCUACCCUUGACUCUGGAAUAACGGUUGGAAACAGCCGCUAAUACCGGAUACGACCUUGAGCGUCAUCGCUCGAGGUGGAAAGCUCCGGCGGUCAGGGAUGGGCUCGCGGCCUAUCAGCUAGUUGGUGAGGUAACGGCUCACCAAGGCUUCGACGGGUAGCCGGCCUGAGAGGGCGACCGGCCACACUGGGACUGAGAUACGGCCCAGACUCCUACGGGAGGCAGCAGUGGGGAAUAUUGCACAAUGGGCGAAAGCCUGAUGCAGCAACGCCGCGUGUGGGAUGACGGCCUUCGGGUUGUAAACCACUUUCAGCGCCGACGAAGCGAAAGUGACGGUAGGCGCAGAAGAAGCACCGGCCAACUACGUGCCAGCAGCCGCGGUGAUACGUAGGGUGCGAGCGUUGUCCGGAAUUAUUGGGCGUAAAGGGCUCGUAGGCGGUCCGUCACGUCGGAAGUGAAAACUCGGGGCUUAACCCCGAGCCUGCUUCCGAUACGGGCAGACUAGAGGAAUGCAGGGGAGAAUGGAAUACCUGGUGGAGCGGUGGAAUGCGCAGAUAUCAGGUGGAACACCAGUGGCGAAGGCGGUUCUCUGGGCAUUUCCUGACGCUGAGGAGCGAAAGCGUGGGGAGCAAACAGGCUUAGAUACCCUGGUAGUCCACGCCGUAAACGGUGGGCACUAGGUGUGGGACUCAUUCCACGAGUUCCGUGCCGAAGCUAACGCAUUAAGUGCCCCGCCUGGGGAGUACGGCCGCAAGGCUAAAACUCAAAGGAAUUGACGGGGGCCCGCACAAGCGGCGGAGCAUGCGGAUUAAUUCGAUGCAACGCGAAGAACCUUACCUAGGUUUGACAUAUACCGGAAAGCUGCAGAGAUGUAGCCCCCGCAAGGUCGGUAUACAGGUGGUGCAUGGCUGUCGUCAGCUCGUGUCGUGAGAUGUUGGGUUAAGUCCCGCAACGAGCGCAACCCUCGUCCUAUGUUGCCAGCACGUAAUG